GAUGAACGCUAGCUACAGGCUUAACACAUGCAAGUCGAGUGGAAACGACAUCGAAAGCUUGCUUUUGAUGGGCGUCGACCGGCGCACGGGUGAGUAACGCGUAUCCAACCUGCCCACCACUUGGGGAUAACCUUGCGAAAGUAAGACUAAUACCCAAUGAUAUCCCACGAAGACAUCUGAAUGGGAUUAAAGAUUUAUCGGUGAUGGAUGGGGAUGCGUCUGAUUAGCUUGUUGGCGGGGUAACGGCCCACCAAGGCAACGAUCAGUAGGGGUUCUGAGAGGAAGGUCCCCCACAUUGGAACUGAGACACGGUCCAAACUCCUACGGGAGGCAGCAGUGAGGAAUAUUGGUCAAUGGGCGAGAGCCUGAACCAGCCAAGUAGCGUGCAGGAAGACGGCCCUAUGGGUUGUAAACUGCUUUUAUAAGGGAAUAAAGUGGGUCACGUGUGACUUUUUGCAUGUACCUUAUGAAUAAGGACCGGCUAAUUCCGUG
This 492-nucleotide ribosomal RNA is filed under the name uncultured bacterium. Its description in RNAcentral is "partial 16S ribosomal RNA". It matches the Rfam family "Bacterial small subunit ribosomal RNA", at positions 28 to 507 of the family's 1533-position model. The record is from RNAcentral.